Molecule: ribosomal RNA, 508 nt
Filed under: uncultured bacterium
Lineage: Bacteria
Description: partial 16S ribosomal RNA
Rfam family: Bacterial small subunit ribosomal RNA
Source: RNAcentral
AACGAACGCUGGCGGCGUGGAUAAGACAUGCAAGUCGAACGGAAACAUUUUAAAUAGCAAUAUUUGAAAUGUUUUAGUGGCGAACGGGUGCGUAACACGUGAGAAUCUACCAAAAAGCACGGAACAACACAGCGAAAGUUGUGCUAAUGCCGUAUGUGAUCGCAAGAUUAAAGCAGGGGACCGCAAGGCCUUGCGCUUUUUGAGGAGCUCGCGGCCUAUCAACUAGUUGGUGAGGUAAUGGCUCACCAAGGUUAUGACGGGUAGCUGGUCUGAGAGGACGACCAGCCACACUGGAACUGAGACACGGUCCAGACACCUACGGGUGGCAGCAGUCGAGAAUUUUUCUCAAUGGGGGAAACCCUGAAGGAGCGACGCCGCGUGGAGGAUGAAAGUCUUCGGAUUGUAAACUCCUGUCACCACAGAGCAAUAUUUUCAUUCUAACAAAGUGAAAAGAGGAUCGUAUGUGGAGAGGAAGGGACGGCUAACUCUGUGCCAGCAGCCGCGGUAA